GUGGGGAAUCUUCCGCAAUGGACGAAAGUCUGACGGAGCAACGCCGCGUGAGUGAAGAAGGUUUUCGGAUCGUAAAGCUCUUUCGUUAGGGACGAACGUGCUCUUUGUGAAUAAUGAGGAGUAAUGACGGUACCUAAAUAAGAAGCCACGGCUAACUACGUGCCAGCAGCCGCGGUAAUACGUAGGUGGCAAGCGUUGUCCGGAAUUAUUGGGCGUAAAGCGCGCGCAGGCGGGAUAUCAAGUCUGUCUUAAAAGUGCGAGGCUCAACCUCGUGAGGGGACAGAAACGGGUAUUCUUGAGUGUCGGAGAGGAAAGUGGAAUUCCAAGUGUAGCGGUGAAAUGCGUAGAGAUUUGGAAGAACACCAGUGGCGAAGGCGACUUUCUGGACGAUGUCUGACGCUGAGGCGCGAAAGCUAGGGGAGCGAACGGGAUUAGAUACCCGUGUAGUCC
This 450-nucleotide ribosomal RNA is filed under the name uncultured bacterium. Its description in RNAcentral is "partial 16S ribosomal RNA". It matches the Rfam family "Bacterial small subunit ribosomal RNA", at positions 354 to 796 of the family's 1533-position model. The record is from RNAcentral.